GGAGGGGUGCAAGCAUUAAUCGGGAUUCAUUGGGCGUAAAGGGCGCGUAGGCGGGGAAGAAAGGUCAGAUGUGAAAGCCCGGGGGGGCUCACCCUCGGACCCGCAUCUGAUACUUCUACUCUAGAGGAUAGGCGGAGAAAAUGGAAUUCCACAUGUAGCGGUGAAAUGCGUAGAUAUGUGGAGGAACACCGGUGGCGAAGGCGAUUUUCUAGCUUAUUCCUGACGCUAAGGCGCGAAAGCCAAGGGAGCAAACAGGAUUAGAUACCCUGGUAGUCUUGGCCGUAAACGAUGUAUACUUGGUGUGGCUGGUCUCAACCCCGGCCGUGUCGGAGCUAACGUGUUAAGUAUACCGCCUGAGGAGUACGCUCGCAAAGGGUGA
RNAcentral lists this ribosomal RNA (379 nucleotides) under uncultured organism. Its description in RNAcentral is "partial 16S ribosomal RNA". It matches the Rfam family "Bacterial small subunit ribosomal RNA", at positions 526 to 897 of the family's 1533-position model. The record is from RNAcentral.